RNAcentral lists this ribosomal RNA (406 nucleotides) under uncultured bacterium. Its description in RNAcentral is "partial 16S ribosomal RNA". It matches the Rfam family "Bacterial small subunit ribosomal RNA", at positions 30 to 526 of the family's 1533-position model. The record is from RNAcentral.
AUUGAACGCUGGCGGCAGGCUUAACACAUGCAAGUCGAGCGAGCGGCGGACGGGUGAGUAAUGUCUGGGAAACUGCCUGAUGGAGGGGGAUAACUACUGGAAACGGUAGCUAAUACCGCAUACCAUCAGAUGCGCCCAGAUGGGCGUAGCUAGUAGGUGGGGGAAUGGCUCACCUAGGCGACGAUCCCUAGCUGGGCUGAGAGGAUGACCAGCCACACUGGGACUGAGACAAGGUCCAGACUCGUACGUGAGGCAGCAGUGGGGAAUAUUGCAAAAGGGGCGAAAGCCUGAUGCAGCCAUGCCGCGUGUGUGAAGAAGGCUUUCGGGUUGUAAAGCACUUUCAGCGAGGAGGCGUUAAUCGCAGAAGAAGCACCGGCUAACUCCGUGCCAGCAGCCGCGGUAAUUC